AUGCCUGGGCAUGAAGCAAGCAGCGACUCCGCGACUUGCAGGUGCCUAACCCCGAUGGGGCAUUCUCCCUGGCCUGGGAGCCGCUGUCCGGAGCGUCCUGACCGCUGGGCACCACGCGGCCGCCCUCGGGCUUCACUGCUCCUCGCCCUCUCCCUUCCAGGCCGCGCGGGUCGCUCCCUCCCCGGGAUUUCACCCGAGUGCCCACUUCCCGGGGCCUGCUCAGGGACCUUCCCCCGUGAGGGCGCGACAGGGGGCCGGCCAGCGAGACCCAGACGCACAGCAGGGCCUGCUGCAGGGCCACGCGGAGCGCCACGUGGCCAUUGGCGGAGGCCACCUUCAGGAGCACCAUGGGGCAGGCUCCCGCGGGCCCCGACUGGGGCUGCGCUGGCUUCAUCCGACGGCCGCCUCGGAAAAGCCGCGGGGGAAAGAGUGCUGAGCCCGCGGCGGGCCUGGGGAUCGCUGCCCAUGGGGUGGGAGCCACCGCUGAUGGCGCGGACGGCCACAGGGGAAGCUCCGCGAGCCUCUCCCGACGGCCUGCGAAUCUGGCUCAGGGAUGGCGCCCCGGCGUGGGCGCUGGGAGCAGGGGCACUCGCUGGCGGGGUGCGCGGCCCAGGCGCUGCGGCCUCUCCCUCGAGUCCUCACGGAGCUGAGCUGGGGCUGCGGAUCGCGUCCCUUCCAGGCUUUCAGGGGCUCCGAGGCGCUUUCCGUUGGAGGAGGGCGGCGCGAGCCCAGGACAAGGCGGUUGGGGUGCGGGAGCAGAGGCGGCGCGCGUCCGGAGCGCUUGGGGACAGAUGGCUGCUCUUUGGUGUUGCUGCAAGAGGCCCGCUGAGGAGCUGCCGGCCUUCCCGUGGUGGAGCCCAGCUCAGGCGGGGAUGGUGCAGGACCGCGGACACAGAAACAGGGCUGCAGGCCCGCAGGGAUCAAGGCGCUCGCUGCUCACAAUCAGGGUGCGCCGGUGUCUCCCCAGGCCUAGGCUGCUGGCGCUGUGCUAUGGGAAGUGGUACAAGGUCCUGGCUCCAGCCCUCCUGGCCUGCCCUGAGCUGGGCUCUGUCCUGUGGCAGCCGAGGGCCGCUCACUCUGGGAGUGCGCCUCUCCCAAAGCAUGCACAUCUUACUUACCCUGCCUCCGCCUCCAAGCAAACAAGGCACUGCUUCUACCCUAAAUGUCCUCCAGCCCUGUCACCCAGGGGGCCAAGGCCCAACUCCUGGGGACAUGGGAGACCUUUUAAGAAAUCUUCUACUCAGUUCCUGGUUCAUUUUCUGCUGCCUGUCCAGUUUGGCCCACAAAGCCUUACCAUGGGCAGGCCUCAGGGAUGGCUGCAAGGAGCCAGCGAGGGCAUCCCCAGUGGAGCAGGCAGGAGAGAGGGGAGGAGGGAGGGAUGCUGCUGGGACCUCGUCCUCUCCCUCUGCCCUGCUCUAUGGACUCAGGCAGAGCCUGCAGGCAGCUCCCAGGCGCAGCUCAAGGCAAUGCUGUCCCGGGCACUGCAGAGAGAACCAGGACCUGUGUCACUAG
This 1512-nucleotide long non-coding RNA is filed under the name Oryctolagus cuniculus (rabbit). Its description in RNAcentral is "lncRNA (ENSOCUG00000034090.1)". Lineage: Eukaryota; Metazoa; Chordata; Mammalia; Lagomorpha; Leporidae. The record is from RNAcentral.